Molecule: ribosomal RNA, 484 nt
Filed under: uncultured bacterium
Lineage: Bacteria
Description: partial 16S ribosomal RNA
Rfam family: Bacterial small subunit ribosomal RNA
Source: RNAcentral
AUUGAACGCUGGCGGAAUGCUUUACACAUGCCAGUCGAGCGGCAGCGCGGCCUUCGGGCUGGCGGCGAGCGGCGAACGGGUGAGUAAUGCAUCGGAACAUGCCCAGUCGUGGGGGAUAACACUUCGAAAGAAGUGCUAAUACCGCAUACGUCCUGAGGGGGAAAGCGGGGGAUCGCAAGACCUCGCGCGAUUGGAGUGGCCGAUGUCAGAUUAGCUAGUUGGUGGGGUAAAGGCCUACCAAGGCGACGAUCUGUAGCUGGUCUGAGAGGAUGAUCAGCCACACUGGGACUGAGACACGGCCCAGACUCCUACGGGAGGCAGCAGUGGGGAAUUUUGGACAAUGGGGGCAACCCUGAUCCAGCCGUUCCGCGUGAGUGAAGAAGGCCUUCGGGUUGUAAAGCUCUUUCGGCAGGAACGAAACGGUGGGCUCUAACAUAGUCCGCUAAUGACGGUACCUGAAGAAGAAGCACCGGCUAACUACGUG